This 1089-nucleotide long non-coding RNA is filed under the name Chinchilla lanigera (long-tailed chinchilla). RNAcentral's name for it is "lncRNA (ENSCLAG00000025503.1)". The record is from RNAcentral. Lineage: Eukaryota; Metazoa; Chordata; Mammalia; Rodentia; Chinchillidae.
UGCAAAGCAGGCAGGAAGUAGGUUUCCAGCGAUGGCCCAGGGGUCCCCAGAACCUGGUGCAUCUCACUGUGGUCUGUUCCGUGCGUGCGCCCCAGACGCCUCUCUCAUCACCAUGUGGCUCUUCACAGAGCUCCCAGAUGCUGCCCAGCUGCUGGGCACUCUUUCUCGGGAGCCUCAGCCGCAUGCACCAGCUAGGGCCCCCAGCAGUGAUUCUGCCUCUCUCCUGUUCCUACACACCUGAAUGCUGCAUCCUUAGAUUUCUUCCCCAUCCUGCUCUUCCAAUGCAGCCAGGCACUCAGGAAAGGAGAAACCGAGACGUGUCGAUCGAUGCUGGAGAGCCACACUGUAACCAGAGAAAGGACAGGAGGCCACCAAGCAGUCGCUGACCUGGACCAGGGACGCUCCAGAAGUCACCCAGGAGUGGAAAAAUAUCGACGGUAACCUGGGCAUCGUGGAGCAGAACAGAAGGGAGAUAUGUUCAAGCCGGGUGGCAAGGGUAAGAGCAGUCUUUGCAAGGGAAGCCUCAGUGAUGGCGUGCCCCUGACAGUCAGGUUGGACGCGGUCGCUAAGGUGGCCAGGACCCCGGAGUCAUUCACAUGCGGGCUGCAGCGUGGGCCGGCUUCAAGUGCACACACGUUACGAGCUCUAAAGUCACAGCAAAUUUGAUUCUGUUUCUGCUCCCACCUGGUUAUUUUUUAAAGCAGGAACGCUGAGACCAGAGUGAUUGCUUCAAAAUCUGGGUCACCUGGGGACGAUGUCACUCCUGCCCGCCUCCACGGCCGCCGUCAGGACCCUCGCCCUGGGCGGGUGCUCAGGAAGCAUCUGCGGUGCCGGAGGCGAAGGCAGAGUCGGGACCGGCGGCGAGAGGAGACAUGGGUGAACAGGCCCAUGGGAUGAGGCAGGGGCCAGUCAGGAGCAGCCAGGCUACCCUGAAACAAACAGCCCCACACGUCAGAGGACCAAGACAAGGUUAUUUCUCAUUCCUGCUGCCUCCUCAAGGGUGUGAGGUGUACACUAAAACAUACAAAAAUAAACACAAACAAUGACAGAAAAAUUUUACACUCUCAGGCUUUAUAAAGUCAGCAGCCG